RNAcentral lists this ribosomal RNA (961 nucleotides) under uncultured organism. RNAcentral describes it as "bacterial SSU rRNA". It matches the Rfam family "Bacterial small subunit ribosomal RNA", at positions 470 to 1428 of the family's 1533-position model. The record is from RNAcentral.
UGACGGUACCCUACUAGAAAGGAGCCGCUAACUUCGUGCCAGAAGCGUCGGUAAUACGGGGGCUCCAAGCGUUAUCCGGUGUUAUUGGGCGUAAAGAGUCGUGUAGGUGGUUGGGUAAGUUAUCUUUCAAAUAUCUCUGCUUAACAAAGAGGAGGGGGAUAAUACUGCUCGACUAGAAUUUUCUCAAGGGAGAUCGGAACUGAGGGAGGAGUAGUGAAAUGCGUUGAUACCCUCGGGAACACCAGUGGCGUAGGCGGAUCUCUGGGAGAAGAUUGACACUGAGACACGAAAGCUAGGGGAGCGAAGCAGAUUAGAGACCUGCGUAGUCCUAGCCGUAAACGCAUGCUUGCUAGCUGCAUGAAUCUACCUUCGGGUGGUAUCGUGUGGCGAAGGUAACCCGUUAAGCAAGCCGCCUGGAAAGUACGGCCGCAAGGCUGAAAUUCAAAGGAAUUGGCGGGGAGGCACACAACCAGUGGAACAUGUGGUUUAAUUCGAGACUAACCGAAGAACCUCACCAGGGUUUGACAUGUAGCUGCACGUCUUAAGAAAUUAAGACUCUCUUGAAGGUGCUACACAGGUGCUGCAUGGCUGUCGUCAGCUCGUUCCGUGAGGAGUGCCCUUAAGUGGGACAACGAGCGCAACCCCUAUUACAUGUUAGAAAUGUCAUGUAAGACUGCCUUGCCAUUUGGCGGGGAGGAAGGAGGGGCAGACGUCAAGUCCGCAUGGUCCUUAUGCCCUGGGCUACACACAUGUUACAAUGAGUACGGCAAUGAGUCUGUCGCGAGCACGUAAGUGUAAGCUAAUCUCUUAAAUGUACUCUCAGUGGGGAUUGAGGUCUGCAACUCGACCUCAUGAACACGGAAUUGGUAGUAAUCGCGGGUCAGCUAUACCGCGGUGAAUACGUUCUUGCCUCUUGCACACACCGCCCGUCAAACCAGCGAAGUCGAUUGUAUCCGAACCU